UAACAAGGCCACACCCACUCCAACAAGACCACACCCACUCCAACAAUGCCACACCUCCAAAUAGUGCCACUCCCGGGGCUGAGCAUAUUUAAAACACCACAUUCCUCAUGUAGGGGUGGGACCUUGAAAGCCCUUUCUCUCUCCACUCCAGACUGUUGACUGACUGGAUCUUGUGCAGUUGUUACAGUGGCAACCACUUACAAGUAAAGCUAGUGGAGGAUCAGGGUCCAAGAGGAAGAUAGAUUAUGCAGAUUUUCCUGGUGCCUUUGCUUCAUCAUUGAUGGAUUCCAGGAUGAGUUAGAGCCAGCACAGUCGCAGAGAGGGAAAAGAGAAAGAAAGGGCGCACACCCCACCACCCGACCAUGUCGCAAGUCAGAAGGAAGAGUGCCACGUUUACGGUGAAAUCAAAGCAACCCCAGGUGUGCGUCAUCACACCGCACCUGGAAAUUAUGACAGUUAUGAUGAAUGAGGAUGAUACAGCAAAGCCAGCACCGACAAGAAGACCCUCCCGGGGUGACAACACCUGGAUCUAGAUCUCUUCUCCCUUCACGAUAGACUGCUCACAGGCGUUUUCCUUCUGACUUGCCAAACAGAAGCAACAGCAAUUAAAUGAGUAUAAAAAGACCAGAGGAGUGUGCACGAUUGCUUUGUUCUGUGAGCAGAGGCCCAGCUCUGCCUGGCUUGGCGCCUCACCCUGUGGUAGAACGUGUGUUCUGUGGCCUUCACCGCUCGGCUCGCAUGAAAGCAGUUGGGGGCCACCAACUGCCAGGCCCAUGACACCUUCAUUUCUAACACAUAGUAACAAAUAACCCUUCCAGACUCUCCUUGUGCGUCCCAUUUUAGAGGUGGAGACG
RNAcentral lists this small RNA (854 nucleotides) under Rattus norvegicus (Norway rat). RNAcentral's name for it is "uncharacterized LOC102551078". Lineage: Eukaryota; Metazoa; Chordata; Mammalia; Rodentia; Muridae. The record is from RNAcentral.